This 229-nucleotide ribosomal RNA is filed under the name uncultured bacterium. RNAcentral's name for it is "partial 16S ribosomal RNA". It matches the Rfam family "Bacterial small subunit ribosomal RNA", at positions 568 to 796 of the family's 1533-position model. The record is from RNAcentral.
UGCGUAGGCGGAAGAUUAAGUCAGUGGUGAAAUCCUGCAGCUUAACUGUAGAACUGUCAUUGAUACUGGUUUUCUUGAAUUUAGUUGAGGUAGGCGGAAUGUGUAAUGUAGCGGUGAAAUGCUUAGAUAUUACACAGAACACCGAUUGCGAAGGCAGCUUACUAAACUAUGAUUGACGCUGAGGUACGAAAGCGUGGGGAGCGAACAGGAUUAGAUACCCUGGUAGUCC